Molecule: non-coding RNA, 23 nt
Filed under: Arabidopsis thaliana (thale cress)
Lineage: Eukaryota; Viridiplantae; Streptophyta; Magnoliopsida; Brassicales; Brassicaceae
Source: RNAcentral
CCGGGCUUUUGAUACGCUUGUGG